Molecule: ribosomal RNA, 235 nt
Filed under: uncultured bacterium
Lineage: Bacteria
Description: partial 16S ribosomal RNA
Rfam family: Bacterial small subunit ribosomal RNA
Source: RNAcentral
UACAGAGGUCUCAAGCGUUGUUCGGAUUCAUUGGGCGUAAAGGGUGUGUAGGUGGCGCGCUAAGUCGGGUGUGAAAUUUCGGAGCUUAACUCCGAAACUGCAUUCGAUACUGGCGUGCUUGAGGACUGGAGGGGAGACUGGAAUUCAUGGUGUAGCAGUGAAAUGCGUAGAGAUCAUGAGGAAGACCAGUGGCGAAGGCGGGUCUCUGGACAGUUCCUGACACUGAGACACGAAG